RNAcentral lists this ribosomal RNA (443 nucleotides) under uncultured bacterium. RNAcentral describes it as "partial 16S ribosomal RNA". It matches the Rfam family "Bacterial small subunit ribosomal RNA", at positions 338 to 795 of the family's 1533-position model. The record is from RNAcentral.
CCUACGGGAGGCAGCAGUGGGGAAUAUUGGGCAAUGGGCGCAAGCCUGACCCAGCAACGCCGCGUGAAGGAAGAAGGCUUUCGGGUUGUAAACUUCUUUUCUCAGGGACGAAGCAUGUGACGGUACCUGAGGAAUAAGCCACGUCUAACUACGUGCCAGCAGCCGCGGUAAUACGUAGGUGGCAAGCGUUCUCCGGAUGUAGUGGGUGUAAAGGGCGUGUAGGCGGGAAUGCAAGUCAGAUGUGAAAGCCACGGGCUCAACCUGUGGCCUGCAUUUGAAACUGUAGUUCUUGAGUAAUGGAGAGGCAGGCGGAAUUCCGAGUGUAGCGGUGAAAUGCGUAGAUAUUAGGAGGAACACCGGUGGCGAAGGCGGUCUGCUGGGCAUCAACUGACGCUGAGGCGCGAAAGCGUGGGGAGCAAACAGGAUUAGAUACCCUAGUAGUC